Molecule: non-coding RNA, 124 nt
Organism: Hordeum vulgare subsp. vulgare (domesticated barley)
Lineage: Eukaryota; Viridiplantae; Streptophyta; Magnoliopsida; Poales; Poaceae
Source: Rfam
CUUAUACUCCCUCCGUCCGAAAAUACUUGUCCUAAAAAUGUAUAAAAUGGAUGUAUCUAUAACUNNNAUAAGUCUAGAUACAUCUAUUUCUAGGACAAGUAUUUUCAGACGAAGGGUGUAUUUA